RNAcentral lists this ribosomal RNA (116 nucleotides) under Acinetobacter baylyi. Lineage: Bacteria; Pseudomonadati; Pseudomonadota; Gammaproteobacteria; Moraxellales; Moraxellaceae. The record is from RNAcentral.
GCUGGCGACCAUAGCAAGAGUGAACCACCUGAUCCCUUCCCGAACUCAGAAGUGAAACCUCUUAGCGCUGAUGGUAGUGUGGGGUUUCCCAUGUGAGAGUAAGUCAUCGCCAGCUC